GACGAACCGUGCAAACGUUAUUCGGAAUCACCGGGCUUAAAGGGCGCGUAGGCGGGCCGCCAGGUCCGGGGUGAAAGCCUCCAGCUCAACUGGAGAAGUGCCUUGGAUACCGGCGGCCUCGAGGGAGGUAGGGGCGUGCGGAACUUCGGGUGGAGCGGUGAAAUGCGUAGAUAUCCGAAGGAACACCGGUGGCGAAGGCGGCUUCCUGGACCGACACUGACGCUGAGGCGCGAAAGCUAGGGGAGCAAACGGG
Molecule: ribosomal RNA, 253 nt
Filed under: uncultured bacterium
Lineage: Bacteria
Description: partial 16S ribosomal RNA
Rfam family: Bacterial small subunit ribosomal RNA
Source: RNAcentral